This 3209-nucleotide long non-coding RNA is filed under the name Macaca mulatta (Rhesus monkey). RNAcentral describes it as "lncRNA (ENSMMUG00000052864.1)". The record is from RNAcentral. Lineage: Eukaryota; Metazoa; Chordata; Mammalia; Primates; Cercopithecidae.
UUUCGCGGAGAAACCGAGCGCGCCAGCCCGGCUGCUCGGCAGGCGGGCGGUGGGCGCGUCCUUCCCUAGCACGGAAGCCCGCGCCGGGCGGGCGGGCGGGAGCGCCUACUCCGGAGGACGCCAGCCGCCUGCUCUCUUUUGUUCUUGGCCGGGAGCUGCCUGCCGCAGCCCAACCAAUCACCACCCGGCCGCCCCCUUCCCCUCCAGUCCGCGCCACUCUGGGGGUUCUCCCCACUCGCGCCCCCCGGUCCCACGCACACCUCCCACUGACUCGACCCCUGCCUGGCUACCCCCAGUCAGCCACUUCCGCGGGUGCUCUCUGGCCUGCAGUGUUUGUGAAAAGGACUUACUCUGGCCCGUCACUUGUUUCCAAUCCUGGCAACCUUUUGGACAACGUUUUUGAAAUUAGCAUCCCUUUCUGAAGAUUUAUGAUGAAGGAGAUUUCUGGCUUUCAGAGUGACUUCAGGAAUGGGAGAUACUUCUUAGAAGAUGCAUUGAAUAUCAUCCAGAUCAUUAAAGGCCACAUACCAAUAAAAUUUGAACUUCUCUAGAGGAGAGGCUAUUUUAUUCACUCACAUGUGCCUAAUACUUAUCACAAAAACUGACCCAGCUUUAGACCAGGAAUGGCAAAUAGGUUUCACUAACUCUGCCAAUUCCAGACUAUUAGUAAUGGUGAUCUGGAACCCUGUAGAGGAGAAUGCAUUCUGAAACUGCAUCCAGGGAUCAGUGGGAAAGAUUCUAUGAUUAGUUAGCAAUGUCUGCCAUGGGUGCCAAAGACAAAAUGGUAGCACAUGCAACACAUACUCGCCAUCUGAGGCCUAAAGAUUUCACGACCAUGGGAUCUUGGCUGAUCAUGUGGGGCACUGAAUUAAGAGCAUUGUUUGCCUAGGAACUCAUCAUAGGACCAGAAGGAUUUUAAGCUAAUAAUGGAUGAUAUGACAGAAAAGCCAAUGAAUCGGUCUGUUAAUUACUGUAAAGGAAGUCAGGUUUGAUGGAAAGAAAAUUAAUAGUCAAGAGUGUUGGUAGGAAGUCAAUGUGAAAUGGAAAGAUAAUCCAAAACAAUACUUUGACCUCCAAUUUCUAUGGUAGCAUCUUUUCCCAGACAGAUGUUCCAUGGGAAACUGCUCUUCCAGACAUUUAUAAACAGGCCUACUCCCGGUAUUUUUGAGACCCGAGUAUAAAUUGAAGAGAAUAAAUUGAAGCUGCAUAUCAUAUGAAAACAUUGAAAAGUUUAUAAAUCAAGCUAACAUACUGUUAGAUAAAAUAUCUUCUAGCCACCUACUUUGACAAAAAUACCUUCAAAAUGAUAAAAUUGAAAAAUCUGUAAAUAGCUAUGGUCUUUACAUGAUUGAAAGGUGGCAAAAAUCAAGGAUGAAUUUAAUUAUUAUUGUGCAUGUUUGGUGGUUCUGUUGAUGGUCCAGUGAUGUUUGGGUGAGUAAUAACAUAAAGGCAUACAUGAUUGUUCAGUUAUUUUGUAUUUAUUCUAUAGCAUUUACUCCCUUGCCUUCAUUUCAUCAAAAUCAAGAUUUAUAUAAGAUACUUUUUUUGACAAUAAUGUCAACUAGAUAUAACCAAUGUCUGUAAUAUAUAACUGUAGUUUCUGAAUGGUUUAAAAAAUUAUUUCCAUUUGGAGAAAUGUUGCUCUGCUGGGGCAGCGUCAACUGUAAUUGCCAAUAAUAUUCUCAAAGUAACACCUAGAUUUGGAAACCAGGAAUUUUACAUAUCAUGUAUAUCAUUACAAUGGUGUUGCAUAUAUAAAUGAUCAUUAUCAAAGAAUAUAUUACAAAAAUAUUUAAUUUCAUAUAUUAAUACUUACAUCAUGCUUUUUAAAACCAUCUUAUCUGGAUUCAAAUAGUAUUUCUUAAAUUCUUUCAAAAACAUUUUUCAUUGUUGGGAUAUUCUAAAGAAAAUCAAAAACAGAAAUAUCAUACUUGAUUGGUUUAAAUUUCUCUUUUAGAGACCACAUCCUGAUAUACUUUGACCAGAAAGUGGUUUCCAUAGAAAUUCGUUUCAGGAUCAUUUGUAGGUAAAUCUCCUUGAGAGUCAUGCAGAUUCCUUUGUUUUCAUGUUCUGAUAUCCUAAUAUUUUAUUGAAAUACCAUGCUUUGUCACAUAUUUCUUUUCUUUUCUUUUUUUCGAGACAGAGUCUCGCUCUGUUGCCCAGGCUGGAGUGCAGUGGCGUUAUCUCGGCUCACUGCAAGCUCUGCCUCCUGGGUUCACGCCAUUCUCCUGCCUCAGCCUUCCAAGUAGCUAGGACUACAGGCGCCCGCCACUACACCUGGGUAAUUUUUUGUAUUUUUAGUAGAGAUGAGGUUUCACUGUGUCAGCGAGGAUAGUCUUGAUCUCCUGACCUCGUGAUCCACCCACCUCGGCCUCCCAAAGUGCUGGGAUUACAGGUGUGAGCCACCGCGCCCGGCCUCUUUGUCAGGUAUUUCACAUGAGGUUUCUUUUUGUUUUUUAGAAAAACAAUUUUCUCUAAAAUUAAAAAAGAAUUUAAUCAUUUUAUUAGUGAAAUCAUUCUAUAAAAUGAGGUUUUGCUAAGAAUUUUAGUAGCAAGCAAUAGUUUAUACCAAAUAACGAUGAACAGUGCAACUUCAAUUUUUUUCAUUUCAUUUUUCAACAAAUACCAUAAUACACUUUCAAUUUGAGGUUCUUCUAUUGUUUCACUGAACUCCUUUUGGACAUUUCAUAUCUUGCCUAAAUUAAAUCUAAUUUCUUGAACAACAUUCAGUUGGAUUACUAAUUAGCGUCCUAGGAUGGUUGUAAUAUCAAAUUCAGUAUGUUUUUCUCAAGAUUGUUCCAUCUUUGGGCAGACCUAGAAAAUAUAAUAUAUAAUCUUUUAAAACCGCUUCAAAGAAUGUCUCUAUCAGAAUAGCUGAGGCCACAUCUUCUAACAUCAAAUUCAAACAAUUUGACAUACAUGACACAAAGAAUGCUCUGGAUUUGACAGCAGAAUUCUGGCUUAUGCACCCUUUUAUUAACUAUGUUAGGGCCCUCAACAAUCUUUGACAUUCCUUAUAUUAUUUAUAUAAAAUGAAAAUGUUUUAAUUUUAACUUUAAACUGUAUUAAAUAUUGUCAUGAAAAUAAAAGUAUUUGCCCUUUAAGCAUAAGAUUAAAUGGCUUCUACCCACCUACUAGUCUAUCUAGUUACCAAUGUAAAGAAUUGGUAUCAUAUAGUCUAUUGCACAUCUAGACAAAUGCAUAUAUAC